This 196-nucleotide unclassified non-coding RNA is filed under the name uncultured Piloderma. Its description in RNAcentral is "sequence contains ITS2". Lineage: Eukaryota; Fungi; Basidiomycota; Agaricomycetes; Atheliales; Atheliaceae. The record is from RNAcentral.
AAUUCUCAACUCUGAUUUGAUUUGUUUCUAAUUGGAGCUUGGACUUGGAGCGUGCUGGCGUCUAGUCGGCUCCUCUCAAAUGCAUCAGCGGAAUAUAUAACCUUUGGUUUCCGGACGUCGGUGUGAUAAUAAAGUUGCGCCGUCAUUCGACUUCAAAGUCCGCUCAUAAUGGUCUUCGGACGAACUCUUAUAUCAA